CCACAAGAGAAAGUCUAUUUAAACCCCCAGGAGACCCCUCCAUUUUGUCUUCAGCUGGCUAAAGAGAGCCUCUCCACCCCCCAAGGAUACCUGAAAGAAACUGGAACAAAGGACAGUAACUACAGGGGGUGUGAGUGAUUCCUGGACCCAGACUAGCAGGAGGCUAGUCUAUAAAAGGAAGCUUACUGGAACUGCAGAGCUUUUCUAUAUACAAACGUACAUCAGAAGAGAGACAAUCAGAUCUACUACAUGGUGAAGACAUCUGAAAGAAUCUCCUUAAAAAGACCUCCAUCACCUUCAAACAGGCAUAAGACUCACCAUAUGAAAAGUGCAGAUGUGGAGCUUUUGCUAAAGAAUAUUGGAAACACUACUACAAUCCUUGGAGGAGUAAUUCACAUUUGCACAAGCAUCAUUGCUCACUGGCUGAAUGUUUCCUAUGAUUAAGGAGAAGUUAUGUGCAGAAUUGACCUGCUUCAUCUUGGCCAACUUUUCUUGGCAUGUGCACCUCUGCAGCAUAAGAAUGAGGUUCCAAGGUAUCUGUUUAGGGUACUACUAGCUGGAUAAUAAAACAGCUGCAGAAU
Molecule: long non-coding RNA, 581 nt
Organism: Malaclemys terrapin pileata
Lineage: Eukaryota; Metazoa; Chordata; Testudines; Emydidae
Exons: 3
Source: RefSeq, a predicted model, not a curated record